Acanthopagrus latus (yellowfin seabream) is the source of this 3467-nucleotide long non-coding RNA. RefSeq lists it as uncharacterized. The record is from RefSeq and is a predicted model, not a curated record. Lineage: Eukaryota; Metazoa; Chordata; Actinopteri; Spariformes; Sparidae. The transcript has 4 exons.
CAAGAGAAGGAGUCAGUGAGGAUUGUCCUCAUAUAUUAAAAUUAAGAGAACGCAGUUGAUGCGGGUGACGUAUUAACACCUCUUCUUAAAGGUCGAACAGACAUAGCUGAUUGUGUAGAAAAUCAGACACUGACCCAUGACAUCGUGAAGUGAUCUGCGUUACAUUGGCUUGACCAGUUUUACUCUGAACCCAUGAUAAAUGACAAGAAAUUGAUAGAUGAUGCCACAACCCAGAGAGGAAAGAACAUAUGCUGAACAUUUUUUAUCUUUAUUAAUUUGUUGUCUUCAACAAUUUUCCAUCACAAAAACCCUAUUAUUAUCACAUGACCUCUGUGUUUACUGAAAUAUGGAAGGUUAUUUGGGUAGAAUUUUACAAAUUAGAGACAUAGCAGAUUUGUACUAGAUUAAGAUCACAGACGACCUCCACAGUUUCCCUGAUGAUGCUAAUCCCAUGCGAAUAUGGCUUUAAACUGCAGCAAUUCAAAUCCCUCACAAUAAUGACAGCCCUGAAAACAACUAAACUGUGUUUGUUGUGAAUAUAAUUCACAUACAGUAAGUGAAAGUCCAGCUAUAUUUAACAUGUGAUUCUCAGCUGUGAGAAACAUUCAGCUGUUUUUACAAACUCUCCCUCUCUUUUGUAUAAUGUAUGAGUAUAUUAGCAUUGGUGUCUGUGCAGAUUUAGACUUUCAGAUGUGACCUUUGUUGUCUAAAUGUCAGGGAGAUUGGAGAGGGAGCCCACAGAGGUAACGCAGGCUUAUGUAAUCUGCUCACUCUGCGUUUCACACACACAUGCACACACACAAGCACAGAGCAGGAAAAAAAAAAAGAAGCUUGUUUGAGGACGGUUGUCAUAUCUCAGCUGUGAUGCCUCGUACAGCUCUCUGCAAUUCACUGAAAGCCUGGCUUUCAGGAACCUUUGCUUUUAUCAGCAUGUAUGUGCAGAAAGUGGCCUGGAAAUUAUUUAUGGCUUUAAAAAUACUGAUACAGUGCACUCCUUUGGUGUUAUUCUUUUAAACUUAUUCUGGGGUCUUUUGAUCCAUCUUAGAGCUCUCAGCUGAAUGUGAAGACAGUGCAGUUUGGAGAGGGCUUUUUGUGUCUGUGCAUGCUAUAUGGUUGACUUGGUGCUGACUGGAUCAGGAGUGCUGGGACUGAACUGAACUGAUUCCCCUGCAUGAAUUAAUUCAUGAUCAUGUGGCGCUCUCUUAACAUGCCCACAAUGAGAGGCACCAGGACAAGUGCUGCAGGCUGGCAAUGCGCUUAUGUGUAAUACGGUAUUCACCUUAAGUAUGUGAGGCUGAAAUAACUAUGUGCAUGCCAAUGACAAACACAUGCAUCAGAUGAGAGCUGGAGUCAUUGUGUCCUGUCACUCAAAACACUUGUAGCACAGAGCCAUAAAGAAAUACUGCACCCAAAAGCAAUUCAGAAACAUGCUACGUGUCAGCUGUUGUCAAAACCAAUUAACAAUGGUUUCAGUUGAUUCCAACAGCAGUUUUGUGGCAAAAAUCGUACCCAAGUGCCCACAGAAACUUCUCAGAACACUCUUCAGCCACAACUCCCUUUCCUGGUAUCUAUCCAAAUGCUCAGUUUUGUUCCAAACACUCCUAUUUUUGACAAAAGGAAUCAACUUGCAACUAAACUUGUUUAUGUUGGCCCUGAGCACUAAAAGCUAACCAAGCUAGCAGCAACUGCACAAUGUUUAUUUAGCCAUAUGCCAGUGUGAAUGUGACACUUUGGAACAUAUUGAGCAUAUGGAAUGGCAGCCUCAGGGAGGGUUUGAGCAGUUUCUACUGACAUUUUGAUACCUUUUUCAUGCCAUGAAGCUGGGUUGAAUUAUUCAAGGGAAUAAUGUCUUCAUACGUCAUUGCUUGACUUCAUUUGUGACCUUUAAAAUUAUAUUGGGCCAAAAUGAUAUUGGAUGUGACAGUUGGGGGGAGUUUGAAUGUGUAUGAAACUUAGGAAAUUUUAAGAGACAUUUCUUUUGUAUGUGCGUGUACAACUUAAUGUCUUUCUCUACUCUGUCACAUGAUUACCACAUUAGUGCACAGCACUUUUCCUGGGGGCCUGGAAAUGAGAUUCACCAUAAGUACUGGGCACACCUCAGUGCCUGCGAAUAUCUUUUUCUGUUCCACAAAUUACUGUAGUGUUUUUUGGUGUUCUUUUUUUUAGACUGCAGAUACACACACCCUUAAGUUGUGGUUUGGAACUGUCCAUGUUUCAACUGUUAGCUGUGUUUUGAUGUACUUUCAUUUAUUCAGAAAAGCUUUUCUGAGCCCCAAAGUGUUUUGUUCCUUUCAUUUAGUUAUUCACCUGCAUAUCUGGAGGUUGUCUCUGCAACCACAUACUGAUUUAUGGGACACUACGGAGGUCCACUGGGGCAGUUUGUGGUUAACCAGGUUGCAUUAACCAGUUGAAAUCCAUCAUGCAUUUCCCUACCUAUGUUUUAAGUGUAUAGAUCCUGGUUUGAGUGCAUGUGUGCUCACAUCAGCCUACAGGAUUAAAGUUAUUAUCAAAAUGUAUCCACAAAAUGCUGCUGAGCUAGUAGUAACUUUAGUGAGUAUAGUAGUAGUGAGCGUCUUCGAAACUGUCGUGUUCGCAACUUGAAAAUGGGUAAGAGGAAGAAACGCCCGGGUGGUGCUGAGAAACAGCGAUUAAAAAAGUUGAAGUCUCUGGAGGUGGAGGCUUCUAAAUGUGCGAAGUUGAUGGACCUUUUUGGUGCCGGGACCACCAACCUGCCAGCAGCCACAGGUGCUGCUGCACCGAGAGACGAGGGAGGAGGACCUAAUGAUGACGAGUGAGUGGAGGCAGACAUGGUUGUUCUGAUAUAUUUGAGGAAUCGUUCUCCCUCUGGUCUGUAUGUGGACCUGUUCUCUCAUUUCGGACCACUGUUAGAAUUUGACCACUUGACACUGAGGAGUUGUUCCCCCUCCGUCCAUGUUCCAGGACUUGCUCUCUCUCUCUGCCUCCAUUCUCUGCCUUUACUGCACUAAAGAUUAGCUGUUGACUCUCCUGUAGUAUAGUCAUUAAUUUGAUGAGGAGUGGAGCUGGCUGGCUGCGGACGAGGAAGUAGGGCAAUACAUACUUGUGCACAUACACGUAUGUGAGAAUGCAUAUCUAUUCAGACCUGUGAUUCUUAGACUUUUUCACACAGCUAUAGAUAUAUAUAUAUAUAUAUUUUUUCAAUUCUCUAUUUAUGGUUUCAUAAUGACUGAGUCACUGUUAAUACAAAUGAGUUCCAGCUCUAAUGCUGCUACUGUCUGUAAUAUGUUUCUAUUUAGAUUAUUUGUCAGGAUAUUUUGUUAUUAUUGUCCCUGUUUGUCCUUAUCUCCCUGUUCCUCCACCCAACUGGUGCAGGUAGCACCCACCCCAAGUCUGGUUUUGGGUUCUUCCCGUCUCGUCCCACCCCUUGUUAUAACUUCUGUUGUGAUUUGAUACUAUAAUGAAUAAAGAUUAAUUGGUUUAUUGCCAUA